AUUGCAUCUGAAACUGCUUUGCUUGAGUCCUGGAUGGGAUAGUGGAAUUCCCAGUGUAGCGGUGAAAUGCGUAGAUAUUGGGAGGAACACCUGCGGCGAAGGCGGCUAUCUGGACAGUGACUGACGCUGAGGCGCGAAAGCUAGGGGAGCGAACGGGAUUAGAUACCCCGGUAGUCCUAGCUGUAAACGAUGGGCACUUGGUGUUGGGGGUAUUGAGUCCCUCGGUGCCGGAGUUAACACGUUAAGUGCCCCGCCUGGGGAGUACGGUCGCAAGACUGAAACUCAGAGGAAUUGACAGGGGCCCGCACAAGCGGUGGAGCAUGUGGUUCAAUUCGACGCAACGCGAAGAACCUUACCGGGGCUCGAACGGUAACUGCUACCCAUGGAAACACGGGAUUCUCUUCGGAGACGGUUAUCGAGGUGCUGCAUGGCUGUCGUCAGCUCGUGUCGUGAGAUGUUGGGUUAAGUCCCGCAACGAGCGCAACCCUUGCCCUUAGUUGCCAUCAGGUUAUGCUGGGCACCCUAAGGGAACUGUCGGCGAAAAGCCGGAGGAAGGUGGGGAUGACGUCAAGUCCUCAUGGCCCUUACGUCCCGGGCUACACACGUGCUACAAUGGCUGGUACAAAGGGUUGCCAACCCGCGAGGGGGAGCUAAUCCCAAAAAACCAGUCCCAGUUCGGAUUGCAGCCUGCAACUCGACUGUAUGAAGGCGGAAUCGCUAGUAAUCGCAGAUCAGCAUGCUGCGGUGAUACGUUCCCGGGCCUUGUACACACCGCCCGUCACAUC
Molecule: ribosomal RNA, 785 nt
Filed under: uncultured Acidobacterium sp.
Lineage: Bacteria; Pseudomonadati; Acidobacteriota; Terriglobia; Terriglobales; Acidobacteriaceae
Description: bacterial SSU rRNA
Rfam family: Bacterial small subunit ribosomal RNA
Source: RNAcentral